UGAAGAUUUGGGAGGCAGUAGGAGGAAGGAUCCUAUCAAUAUAAAUCCUAAAAUCCUACCUAUAGCAGCAUCCCUUAACCACAAACCCACAUUCUAUUAAAUUGUCUAAAAAUGUUUUGGGAUUCCUGCCUCUAUAAUAACCAAAUGUUUGAUAGCAUUAUCUUUCUUCCUUGAAGCUAUUUCUUUCUUCAGUCCUACCUUGUUCCCGUGAGUCUUGCUUCUCUGGAGGCCUGAAGAAAGCAAAGUACCUUAGAAGCCAGAGCCCUGCACUGGUGCUGUGAGCAGCCCCUCACGGCUGGCUCCCUGGUGCACUCUGGCUUCCCCAGCCCAGGCCUGGCUCAUUGCUAAGUCACAUACCCAAGAAGCUACAGCAGGAGGGCUAGACUGGCCACUCUGACCCCCUCCUCCUGCCUCCUCUGGACAGAAGCACUUGCUGGUUCCUGCUGAGACCAAGGGAGAGCAUCAACCAUGGGGAAUUGGGAGCCUUGAGGUGGGGAGAGAGUCCAUAAGGCCCAGGUGACCUGUUUGCUUUUUGGAGUGUUGACUCUACUGCUCCAGAAGCCACAGCCUAGUGGCCGGAUGUUCACAGUUGCAGGAUCCGAUCUGCAAGGGAAUUUCCCUGGACAAGCGUCUUCCCCGUUGGGCCUGGCUGCCGUUUUUGAGAGCCGGGCCAUCUUGGGCCUCCCGGGGUGUGCCCUCUGGAGAGCUGGCAUUUCCAUGUGAUACAGGGGUGCGGAGGGAAUUUUCCCACUUGGCAGAGUGGCGUGAGGACCAGGAGGGAGUGUUUGUCCUGCCCGGCAACAAGAGGUCCCAGGAAGCUCUAUAUUUUUAUUUCAGAAGAAGAUUCUCUCUCCACCUCCACUGUGUCUUAGAAGGGACAACUCAGGCACGUACCUUUCAGCCACCUGACCUCUACCUAGGUGUGAGGUCCUUGAGGUGGGCACGCGGCCGUGUCUUAUUGAUUCUAGAAUCUUACACUCUCUCCCAGUGCUCAGCACGCGGGGAGCUUGUUUGUUGAAUGAAUGGAUGAAACUCUGGCACACCACUCGGAAGUGGUGGCUUGGGAGGCUUGAACAACUGUGACAGGUGUGUGACAGAGCCCUCACCUCUCACCCGUCACUCCCUGCAGAAAAGGGAACAGAAAUGGGAAAAAACACGAAAGCCCAAGAUGCUGGGGUUUAAUCUUGGCUUUUCCGCUGGCUGCUGUGUAGCCUCAGGUAAGUCUUCAAACCUCUCUGAACCCCAGUUUUCUCCUGUGCAAACCAAGAGAGUUAACAUCUCCUCUGUCAGAUGGUGAGACAGAUUAACUGUGGCUACACUUAGUAAUGAGAAGUUGAGAAUGGAUGGAUUAGGAGAGAAGUCCUUGAGUCCCAUCAGCCCGGGUCCCUGGGUCAGAGAUUUUUAUCUCAUUACACAGUGUCUCCUGAAGCUGCCCACGUGGUAUUUUCCUCUACAUGGAAUUAAUCUGGAAUUGAUUCCAUGUCUGAGACCCAGCAUGAGCCGUGUGCCUGGGACGCCCAUGCGUGGGAAUAGAAGCUGAGAGAAGGCUGUCUGUACGUGGUGGUGCAUCCUGUCCCCAGGCAGCAGUGUGGUUAAGAACAUGACCUGGAAAAGGUCUUUCUGAAAGGCACAGAGGGAGGAGUGGUGGUGGU
This is a long non-coding RNA of Marmota monax (woodchuck), 1652 nucleotides long. RefSeq lists it as uncharacterized. The transcript is spliced from 4 exons. Lineage: Eukaryota; Metazoa; Chordata; Mammalia; Rodentia; Sciuridae. The record is from RefSeq and is a predicted model, not a curated record.